AGUGCGGGCCGUGAGGGGUGUGCGCGCUUGAGCCGGAGCGGGGCUCGCCCCUCGUCGGCUCCCGCCGCCCAGCCGGUGAUCGCUCUCCGGCCGUCCCCGGCACCCUCGGCCCCCCACGGCGGUUGGUCCGGGCGGGGGAAGGAGAAAGUGAGACUCGGUGUCAUCACCAAUCCAUCGCCAGAAGGGGAGGAAACUGGAAUCCAGCAGCGGCGAGCAGCAGCUGGACGGUAACAUCUGGAAAUGGAAAGCCGACCUCCCCCUCCUCCUCCACCUCCUCCUCCUCCUCCUCCUCCUCCUCCUCCUCCUCUCACCCAGGAUCACUUCCAAAACCACUUGGCCUUCAGCCCCUGCCUCGGCCAGAGGUUUCAUUUUUAACUGAAUAUUUACGAAAGCUGAAAGCGUGCGAGGGGGGUGGGGUGGAAAUAGCGGCUGCUUCUUUUCCAAGGAUUUAUUUAAUGGGGAUGUGUUCAAGGCAAGACCGAAUUCAGAAGGAUAUCGACGUCGUGAUCCAGAAGUCCAGAGCUGAGGACUGCCUGUUUGCAGGGCCCGCCUGGCAGGACGACUGAGCAAGUCCUUGGAAAACCAGAGAUAUUAGAGCGGUGAAUCGCGCUGGUCACGUUGGACACCUGCGCGUUAGGAGAUUCUGGAGCCAGAGGGAGAGACCCCAGAAACUCCCCGGUCGGCGACCCAGCCCGAGACGCCUGGGGUCCCAAGGGAAGCUGAACGCCCGGUGGGCUCCCGGGAUGGUUCUUCCGGUUCUUUGUGCCGCCUUCACCCAGUGAAGGAGCCUGUAUCCACCCUGCCCAGUCGCUGUUGGGCUGCUGCGGAGCUUCCGCUGCCAUCUUCGGAUCCUGUGUUCCGCCCGGGGCUCCACCAGGGCAGGGAUGGUGCAGAAUGGGGAAAUGGAGAGAGAACCUGAAAGAGCCCCAAACUCGAGGACCUAUUGCUCCCCAAGAAUAACAUCUUCCAGAACUAGACAGAAAACUAGGCGUCUGGGAACCCUGAAAUCCUUGGAGGAGUAGAUCAUCAUGACCCUCUGUGUUCCUUUUGGCAAAUGACUUGCUUCCAUUGUUUGUUUGUUCAAUUGUCUGUUUGUUAAAUAAAUAAAACCCUUUUCAUGUAUCUUUAAAAUUACAUUGGUUCUAUUAUUUUAUGAUUACAAACGAUGCUGCAGUCAU
RNAcentral lists this long non-coding RNA (1178 nucleotides) under Homo sapiens (human). RNAcentral describes it as "non-protein coding lnc-PPIAL4C-4:12". Lineage: Eukaryota; Metazoa; Chordata; Mammalia; Primates; Hominidae. The record is from RNAcentral.